CUACGACCAUACCACCCUGAAUGCACCCAAUCUCGUCUGAUCUCGGAAGCUAAGCAGGGUUGGGCCUGGUUAGUACU
RNAcentral lists this ribosomal RNA (77 nucleotides) under Ailuropoda melanoleuca (giant panda). The record is from RNAcentral. Lineage: Eukaryota; Metazoa; Chordata; Mammalia; Carnivora; Ursidae.